CCUACGGGCGGCUGCAGUGGGGAAUAUUGCACAAUGGGCGCAAGCCUGAUGCAGCCAAGCCGCGUGAGUGAAGAAGGUCUUCUGGAUUUUAAACCUUUUCUGUCGGGGAGCAAAUGACGACACUCGUGACGUUCCCAGAGUACCCGAACAAAAAACAUCGGCUAACCCUGUGCCAGCAGCCGCGGUAAUACGGAGGGUUCAAGCGUUACGCGGAUUUAGUGGGCUUAAAGGGUGCGCAGGCGGUCGGAUUAGUUAGAGGUGAAAUCCCGGGGCUCAACUUCGGAAUUGCCUCUGAUACUGGUCGGCUAGAGAGUAGUUGCGGUAGGCGGAAUGUAUGGUGUAGCGGUGAAAUGCGUAGAGAUGAGACGGAACACCGAUUGCGAAGGCGGCCUAC
This 394-nucleotide ribosomal RNA is filed under the name uncultured bacterium. Its description in RNAcentral is "partial 16S ribosomal RNA". It matches the Rfam family "Bacterial small subunit ribosomal RNA", at positions 338 to 729 of the family's 1533-position model. The record is from RNAcentral.